This is a long non-coding RNA of Poecile atricapillus (Black-capped chickadee), 343 nucleotides long. RefSeq lists it as uncharacterized. The record is from RefSeq and is a predicted model, not a curated record. Lineage: Eukaryota; Metazoa; Chordata; Aves; Passeriformes; Paridae. The transcript is spliced from 3 exons.
CCAAACAGAAUCCAGUGGUUAUUCCUGUGAAAUGGUCAGAGCUGGGCAGUGAAGGGCACCCAUCACCUUCCCUUUUGGAACACCACAAACUGCAUUCUGACUCUCCAGGUGUGUCUCACCUGGGGAUCCUAAAGGAGAAAAGAAUUUCUGGUGCAGAUGGGAAGGAAGUCCUGGAAUCCCAGUGUUUCCUGCAAGCUGAAGAUCCUGGAGUGUGACUCAAGUCCGUGGUGCUGCAGCCCAGCACAGGGAUGUCGUGGGCAGAGGUGGUAGCAACGAGGGCUCUCUUAUUUCCUUUGCUGCUUUGGAAGGACACAGACAAGCCUGACACCAGCUGCACCCCCAG